Molecule: small nuclear RNA, 60 nt
Filed under: Rhinopithecus bieti (black snub-nosed monkey)
Lineage: Eukaryota; Metazoa; Chordata; Mammalia; Primates; Cercopithecidae
Description: U7 small nuclear RNA (ENSRBIG00000007064.1)
Rfam family: U7 small nuclear RNA
About the family: Animal histone pre-mRNAs are spliced by a different mechanism than nuclear pre-mRNAs and self-splicing introns. This processing involves the U7 snRNP, which contains only one RNA species: U7. The 5' end of U7 RNA is thought to base-pair to a conserved spacer element downstream of the cleavage site in histone pre-mRNA.
Source: Rfam by way of RNAcentral
AAGUGUUACAGCUCUUUUAGAAUUUGUCUAGCAGGCUUUCGAGUUUUGCCAGAAACCACC